ACCGGACCCGGGGACGCAUGUCUGUAGUCCCAGCUACCCGGGAGGCUGAGGCUGGAGAAUUACUUGAGUCCAGGAGUUCUGGGCUGCAGUGGGCUGUGCCGAUCGGGUGUCCGCAUUCAGUUAGGUAUCAAUAUGGUGACCUCCCGGGAGCAGAGGACCACCAGGUUGCCUGAGGAGGGUCGAACCAGCCCAGGUCGGAAAGCAGAGACUCAUACGGGCAUUCAUGCACCCAUGUUCAUAGCAGCAGGACUCACAAUAGCCAAGAGGGGAAGCAAAGCAGGUGUCCGU
This 288-nucleotide small RNA is filed under the name Carlito syrichta (Philippine tarsier). RNAcentral describes it as "Metazoan signal recognition particle RNA (ENSTSYG00000033234.1)". It matches the Rfam family "Metazoan signal recognition particle RNA", at positions 1 to 216 of the family's 299-position model. Rfam says of the family: The signal recognition particle (SRP) is a universally conserved ribonucleoprotein. The record is from RNAcentral. Lineage: Eukaryota; Metazoa; Chordata; Mammalia; Primates; Tarsiidae.